GAUGAACGCUGGCGGCGUGCCUAACACAUGCAAGUCGAACGGAGAUUACGGACGGAAGUUUUCGGAUGGAAGACUGUAAUUCUUAGUGGCGGACGGGUGAGUAACGCGUGGGCAACCUACCCUAUACAGGGGGAUAGCAGCUGGAAACGGCUGGUAAGACCGCAUAAGUCGGCGAGACCGCAUGGUUUUGCCGGGAAAUGAGCAAUCAGGUAUAGGAUGGGCCCGCGUCCGAUUAGCCAGUUGGCAGGGUAAAAGCCUACCAAAGCAACGAUCGGUAGCCGGACUGAGAGGUCGGACGGCCACAUUGGGACUGAGACACGGCCCAAACUCCUACGGGAGGCAGCAGUGGGGGAUAUUGCACAAUGGAGGAAACUCUGAUGCAGCGACGCCGCGUGAGUGAAGAAGUAUUUCGGUAUGUAAAGCUCUAUCAGCAGGGAAGAUGAUGACGGUACCUGACUAAGAAGCCCCGGCUAACUACGUG
RNAcentral lists this ribosomal RNA (481 nucleotides) under uncultured bacterium. RNAcentral describes it as "partial 16S ribosomal RNA". It matches the Rfam family "Bacterial small subunit ribosomal RNA", at positions 28 to 507 of the family's 1533-position model. The record is from RNAcentral.